RNAcentral lists this ribosomal RNA (611 nucleotides) under uncultured bacterium. Its description in RNAcentral is "bacterial SSU rRNA". It matches the Rfam family "Bacterial small subunit ribosomal RNA", at positions 1 to 586 of the family's 1533-position model. The record is from RNAcentral.
UAACUGGAGAGUUUGAUCCUGGCUCAGAAUGAACGCUGGCGGCGUGCUUAACACAUGCAAGUCGAACGAGAAAGAGAUUGCUUGCAAUCUUGAGUAGAGUGGCGCACGGGUGAGUAACACGUAGAUAAUCUACCCCUAAGCCCGGGAUAACCAUUCGAAAGGAUGGCUAAUACCGGAUGCAGUUUCUGCGCACAGGCGCAGAGAUGAAAGACUGCCUCUUCAUGAAAGCAGUUGUUUGGGGAUGAGUUUGCGUACCAUUAGCUUGUUGGUGGGGUAAGGGCCUACCAAGGCUGUGAUGGUUAGCUGGUCUGAGAGGAUGAUCAGUCACACUGGAACUGGAACACGGUCCAGACUCCUACGGGAGGCAGCAGUGAGGAAUUUUGCGCAAUGGGGGCAACCCUGACGCAGCAACGCCGCGUGAGUGAAGAAGGCCUUUGGGUCGUAAAGCUCUGUCAACCGGGAAGAAGUUAUGCAGAAUGAAUAGUGCUGCAUAUUGACGGUACCGGUGGAGGAAGCGCCGGCUAACUCCGUGCCAGCAGCCGCGGUAACACGGGGGGCGCAAGCGUUAUUCGGAAUUAUUGGGCGUAAAGGGCGCGUAGGCGGUUCUGUCG